Molecule: ribosomal RNA, 254 nt
Filed under: uncultured bacterium
Lineage: Bacteria
Description: partial 16S ribosomal RNA
Rfam family: Bacterial small subunit ribosomal RNA
Source: RNAcentral
UACGGGGGGAGCAAGCGUUGUUCGGAUUUACUGGGCGUAAAGGGCGCGUAGGCGGCCACCGCAAGUCAAUUGUGAAAUCUCCGGGCUUAACUCGGAACGGCCAAGUGAAACUGUCAAGCUAGAGUGCGGAAGGGGCAAUCGGAAUUCUUGGUGUAGCGGUGAAAUGCGUAGAUAUCAAGAGGAACACCUGAGGUGAAGACGGGUUGCUGGGCCGACACUGACGCUGAUGCGCGAAAGCCAGGGGAGCAAACGGG